Molecule: ribosomal RNA, 270 nt
Filed under: uncultured archaeon
Lineage: Archaea
Description: partial 16S ribosomal RNA
Rfam family: Archaeal small subunit ribosomal RNA
Source: RNAcentral
CAGCACCUCAAGUGGUCAGGAUGAUUAUUGGGCCUAAAGCAUCCGUAGCCGGCUCUGUAAGUUUUCGGUUAAAUCUGUAUGCUCAACAUACAGGCUGCCGGGAAUACUGCAGAGCUAGGGAGUGGGAGAGGUAGACGGUACUCGGUAGGAAGGGGUAAAAUCCUUGGAUCUAUCGAUGACCACCUGUGGCGAAGGCGGUCUACCAGAACACGUCCGACGGUGAGGGAUGAAAGCUGGGGGAGCAAACCGGAUUAGAUACCCGAGUAGUCC